UAUUCUGCCCCACGGGGAAGGAUGAGAAGCUUCGACUAAGGUUCGACUCGAGCGAAGCGAGAGAACGUUACCGCAGGCAACGGCCCGAAGGGCGAGGAGCGAUAGCGACGAGUUAUCCUUCCCCACCACCA
RNAcentral lists this small RNA (131 nucleotides) under Klebsiella pneumoniae. RNAcentral's name for it is "RtT sRNA". It matches the Rfam family "RtT RNA". From Rfam's summary of the family: This family represents a bacterial cis-regulatory element known as RtT RNA. The exact function of RtT is unknown although it is thought that it may be involved in changing the cellular response in relation to amino acid starvation. Lineage: Bacteria; Pseudomonadati; Pseudomonadota; Gammaproteobacteria; Enterobacterales; Enterobacteriaceae. The record is from RNAcentral.